CUCCGUCUCAUAUUACUUGUCGCUUUAAGUUUCUGUUUGUAAUGUUUGAUCAUUCGUCUUAUUCAAAAAAUUUUGGAAUUAUUAUUUAUUUUGUUUGUGACUUGUUUUAUUAUCAAAAGUACUUUAAGCUUGACUUAUUAUUUUUUAUAUUUGCACUAAUUUUUAAAUAAAACGAAUGGUCAAACGUUUCAAGAAAAAAGUCAAAGCGACAAGUAAUAUGGGACGGAGGC
Molecule: microRNA precursor, 230 nt
Filed under: Oryza sativa (Asian cultivated rice)
Lineage: Eukaryota; Viridiplantae; Streptophyta; Magnoliopsida; Poales; Poaceae
Description: partial microRNA MIR431b-4 precursor
Rfam family: MIR812 microRNA precursor family (bases 12-217)
Source: RNAcentral